GUGGGGAAUCUUCCGCAAUGGACGAAAGUCUGACGGAGCAACGCCGCGUGAGUGAAGAAGGUUUUCGGAUCGUAAAGCUCUUUCGUUAGGGACGAACGUGCUCUUUGUGAAUAAUGAGGAGUAAUGACGGUACCUAAAUAAGAAGCCACGGCUAACUACGUGCCAGCAGCCGCGGUAAUACGUAGGUGGCAAGCGUUGUCCGGAAUUAUUGGGCGUAAAGCGCGCGCAGGCGGGAUAUCAAGUCUGUCUUGAAAGUGGGAGGCUCAACCUCGUGAGGGGACAGAAACUGGUAUUCUUGAGUGUCGGAGAGGAAAGUGGAAUUCCAAGUGUAGCGGUGAAAUGCGUAGAGAUUUGGAAGAACACCAGUGGCGAAGGCGACUUUCUGGACGAUGUCUGACGCUGAGGCGCGAAAGCUAGGGGAGCGAACGGGAUUAGAUACCCCGGUAGUCC
RNAcentral lists this ribosomal RNA (450 nucleotides) under uncultured bacterium. Its description in RNAcentral is "partial 16S ribosomal RNA". It matches the Rfam family "Bacterial small subunit ribosomal RNA", at positions 354 to 796 of the family's 1533-position model. The record is from RNAcentral.